ACGGGAGGCAGCAGUGGGGAAUAUUGCACAAUGGGCGAAAGCCUGAUGCAGCGACGCCGCGUGAGUGAUGAAGUAUUUCGGUAUGUAAAGCUCUAUCAGCAGGGAAGAUAAUGACGGUACCUGACUAAGAAGCACCGGCUAAAUACGUGCCAGCAGCCGCGGUAAUACGUAUGGUGCAAGCGUUAUCCGGAUUUACUGGGUGUAAAGGGAGCGCAGGCGGUACGGCAAGUCUGAUGUGAAAGCCCGGGGCUCAACCCCGGUACUGCAUUGGAAACUGUCGAACUAGAGUGUCGGAGGGGUAAGUGGAAUUCCUAGUGUAGCGGUGAAAUGCGUAGAUAUUAGGAGGAACACCAGUGGCGAAGGCGGCCUGCUGGGCUCUAACUGACGCUGAGGCUCGAAAGUGUGGGGAGCAAACAGGAUUAGAUACCCUGGUA
This 434-nucleotide ribosomal RNA is filed under the name uncultured Roseburia sp. Its description in RNAcentral is "partial 16S ribosomal RNA". It matches the Rfam family "Bacterial small subunit ribosomal RNA", at positions 341 to 792 of the family's 1533-position model. Lineage: Bacteria; Bacillati; Bacillota; Clostridia; Lachnospirales; Lachnospiraceae. The record is from RNAcentral.